This 803-nucleotide ribosomal RNA is filed under the name uncultured Cytophagales bacterium. Its description in RNAcentral is "bacterial SSU rRNA". It matches the Rfam family "Bacterial small subunit ribosomal RNA", at positions 237 to 1042 of the family's 1533-position model. Lineage: Bacteria; Pseudomonadati; Bacteroidota; Sphingobacteriia; Sphingobacteriales. The record is from RNAcentral.
GCCAUUAGCUAGUUGGUGAGGUAACAGCUCACCAAGGCUAUGAUGGCUAGGGGUUCUGAGAGGACUAUCCCCCACACUGGUACUGAGACACGGACCAGACUCCUACGGGAGGCAGCAGUAAGGAAUAUUGGGCAAUGGACGCAAGUCUGACCCAGCCAUGCCGCGUGCAGGAUGACAGCCUUAUGGGUUGUAAACUGCUUUUAUCAGGGAAUAACCGCUCGUACGUGUACGGGUCUGAAUGUACCUGAAGAAUAAGCACCGGCUAACUCCGUGCCAGCAGCCGCGGUAAUACGGAGGGUGCAAGCGUUAUCCGGAUUUAUUGGGUUUAAAGGGUGCGUAGGCGGAUAGAUAAGUCAGUGGUGAAAGCCUACAGCUCAACUGUAGAACUGCCAUUGAUACUGUUUAUCUUGAGUGUAAAUGAAGUGGGCGGAAUGUAGCAUGUAGCGGUGAAAUGCAUAGAUAUGCUACAGAACACCAAUUGCGAAGGCAGCUCACUAACAUACAACUGACGCUCAUGCACGAAAGCGUGGGGAUCAAACAGGAUUAGAUACCCUGGUAGUCCACGCUGUAAAACGAUGAUUACUCGUUGUUGGCGAUACACAGCCAGCGACCAAGCGAAAGUGAUAAGUAAUCCACCUGGGGAGUACGAUCGCAAGGUUGAAACUCAAAGGAAUUGACGGGGGCCCGCACAAGCGGUGGAGCAUGUGGUUUAUUUCGAUGAUACGCGAGGAACCUUACCUGGGCUCAAAUGUAUGUUGACGUAGUGUGAAAGCAUUAUUUUCUUCGGACAAUAUACAAGUGCU